RNAcentral lists this ribosomal RNA (459 nucleotides) under uncultured bacterium. Its description in RNAcentral is "bacterial SSU rRNA". It matches the Rfam family "Bacterial small subunit ribosomal RNA", at positions 29 to 528 of the family's 1533-position model. The record is from RNAcentral.
AACGAACGCUGGCGGCAGGCCUAACACAUGCAAGUCGAGCGAACCCUUCGGGGUUAGCGGCGGACGGGUUAGUAACGCGUGGGAAUAUACCCUUUGGUACGGAAUAGCCUCGGGAAACUGAGAGUAAUACCGGUAUGUGCCCUUACGGGGGAAAGAUUUAUCGCCAAAGGAUUAGCCCGCGUUGGAUUAGGUAGUUGGUGGGGUAAUGGCCUACCAAGCCUACGAUCCAUAGCUGGUUUGAGAGGAUGAUCAGCAACACUGGGACUGAGACACGGCCCAGACUCCUACGGGAGGCAGCAGUGGGGAAUCUUAGACAAUGGGCGCAAGCCUGAUCUAGCCAUGCCGCGUGGACGAUGAAGGCCUUAGGGUUGUAAAGUCCUUUCAGAUGGGAAGAUAAUGACGGUACCAUCAGAAGAAGCCCCGGCUAACUCCGUGCCAGCAGCCGCGGUAAAGUAUCGU